UACGGGGGGAGCAAGCGUUGUUCGGAUUUACUAGGCGUAAAGGGCGCGUAGGCGGUCGUGACAAGUCACUUGUGAAAUCUCCGGGCUUAACUCGGAACGGUCAAGUGAUACUGUCGGACUAGAGUACAGAAGGGGCAACUGGAAUUCUCGGUGUAGCGGUGAAAUGCGUAGAUAUCGAGAGGAACACCUGCGGCGAAGGCGGGUUGCUGGGCUGAUACUGACGCUGAGGCGCGAAAGCCAGGGGAGCGAACGGG
This 254-nucleotide ribosomal RNA is filed under the name uncultured bacterium. RNAcentral's name for it is "partial 16S ribosomal RNA". It matches the Rfam family "Bacterial small subunit ribosomal RNA", at positions 524 to 776 of the family's 1533-position model. The record is from RNAcentral.